This 181-nucleotide long non-coding RNA is filed under the name Mustela putorius furo (domestic ferret). Its description in RNAcentral is "lncRNA (ENSMPUG00000024737.1)". The record is from RNAcentral. Lineage: Eukaryota; Metazoa; Chordata; Mammalia; Carnivora; Mustelidae.
GGGAAUCCUACCCACUUCUGUUGUCUUUCUCUUCACCAGUGAGCCCUUCCUCUGGGCUGGGUGCUGAGCUCUGUACAGGCCAUGCCUUGUUCAAAGCAACUCCACAAGCAACUUUACUGAUCCUUCUGUGCCCAGUCCUGGGCGAACCACGUGGCACCUAGAAAUGAUGGGACACGCCCCC